GCAGCACGGAGCUUGCUCUGGUGGCGAGUGGCGAACGGGUGAGUAAUAUAUCGGAACGUACCCUGGAGUGGGGGAUAACGUAGCGAAAGUUACGCUAAUACCGCAUACGAUCUAAGGAUGAAAGUGGGGGAUUCGCAAGAACCUCAUGCUCGUGGAGCGGCCGAUAUCUGAUUAGCUAGUUGGUAGGGUAAAAGCCUACCAAGGCAUCGAUCAGUAGCUGGUCUGAGAGGACGACCAGCCACACUGGAACUGAGACACGGUCCAGACUCCUACGGGAGGCAGCAGUGGGGAAUUUUGGACAAUGGGCGCAAGCCUGAUCCAGCAAUGCCGCGUGAGUGAAGAAGGCCUUCGGGUUGUAAAGCUCUUUUGUCAGGGAAGAAACGGUGGGAGCUAAUAUCUCCUGCUAAUGACGGUACCUGAAGAAUAAGCACCGGCUAACUACGUGCCAGCAGCCGCGGUAAUACGUAGGGUGCAAGCGUUAAUCGGAAUUACUGGGCGUAAAGCGUGCGCAGGCGGUUUUGUAAGUCUGAUGUGAAAUCCCCGGGCUCAACCUGGGAAUUGCAUUGGAGACUGCAAGGCUAGAAUCUGGCAGAGGGGGGUAGAAUUCCACGUGUAGCAGUGAAAUGCGUAGAUAUGUGGAGGAACACCGAUGGC
RNAcentral lists this ribosomal RNA (654 nucleotides) under uncultured bacterium. RNAcentral's name for it is "bacterial SSU rRNA". It matches the Rfam family "Bacterial small subunit ribosomal RNA", at positions 69 to 716 of the family's 1533-position model. The record is from RNAcentral.